UGUAGGUUAAGCUAGAAAGGGCGCACGGUGGAUGCCUUGGCACUAGGAGCCGAUGAAGGACGGGGCAAACGCCGAAACGCUCCGGGGAGCUGUAAGCAAGCGUUGAUCCGGAGAUGUCCGAAUGGGGGAACCCACUGUCCGUAAUGGGGCAGUAUCCAUGCCUGAAUCCAUAGGGCAUGGAGGGCACACCCGGGGAACUGAAACAUCUUAGUACCCGGAGGAGAAGAAAGCAAACGCGAUUCCCUGAGUAGCGGCGAGCGAAACGGGAACAGCCCAAACCAAGAGGCGUGCCUCUUGGGGUUGUAGGACCGCUCAUUGUGGGAGUGAGAAAGGAACGGGGUAGACGAACCGGUCUGGAACGGCCGGCCAGAGAAGGUGACAGCCCUGUAGUCGAAACUUCGUUCCCUCCCGAGCGGAUCCUGAGUACGGCGGGACACGGGAAAUCCCGUCGGAAGCAGGGAGGACCAUCUCCCAAGGCUAAAUACUCCCUAGUGACCGAUAGUGCACCAGUACCGUGAGGGAAAGGUGAAAAGCACCCCGGAAGGGGAGUGAAAGAGAACCUGAAACCGUGUGCCUACAAGUAGUCAGAGCGCGUUCAUGCGUGAUGGCGUGCCUUUUGUAGAAUGAACCGGCGAGUGACGAUGGCGUGCGAGGUUAAGCCGAAGAGGCGGAGCCGCAGCGAAAGCGAGUCUGAACAGGGCGAAAAGUACGUCGUCGUCGACCCGAAACCAGGUGAUCUACCCAUGUCCAGGGUGAAGGCCGGGUAACACCGGCUGGAGGCCCGAACCCACGCACGUUGAAAAGUGCGGGGAUGAGGUGUGGGUAGGGGUGAAAUGCCAAUCGAACUUGGAGAUAGCUGGUUCUCCCCGAAAUAGCUUUAGGGCUAGCCUCGGGAUGGAGAGUGUUGGAGGUAGAGCACUGAUUGGGCUAGGGGCCCUCAUCGGGUUACCGAACCCAGUCAAACUCCGAAUGCCAACGACUUAUGCCCGGGAGUCAGACUGCGAGUGAUAAGAUCCGUGGUCGAGAGGGAAACAGCCCAGAUCGCCAGCUAAGGCCCCAAAGUGCACGUUCAGUGGAAAAGGAUGUGGAGUUGCAAAGACAACCAGGAUGUUGGCUUAGAAGCAGCCACCAUUUAAAGAGUGCGUAAUAGCUCACUGGUCGAGUGACUCUGCGCCGAAAAUGUACCGGGGCUAAACGUGCCGCCGAAGCUGCGGGAUGACCGUUGGUCAUCGGUAGGGGAGCGUUCUAAGGGCGUUGAAGCCAGACCGGAAGGACUGGUGGAGCGCUUAGAAGUGAGAAUGCCGGUAUGAGUAGCGAAAACAGAGGUGAGAAUCCUCUGCGCCGAAAGCCUAAGGGUUCCUGAGGAAGGUUCGUCCGCUCAGGGUUAGUCGGGACCUAAGCCGAGGCCGAAAGGCGUAGGUGAUGGACAACAGGUUGAGAUUCCUGUACCACCUCCUUCCCGUUUGAGCGAUGGGGGGACGCAGGAGGAUAGGGCGAGCAGGCGGCUGGAAGAGCCUGUCCAAGCCGCAAGGCUGAUCCGUAGGCAAAUCCGCGGAUUGUAAGGCCAAGCGGUGAUGGCGACGGAGUCAUCCGGAAGUCCCCGAUUUCACACUGCCAAGAAAAGCCUCUAGCGAGGGAAGAGGUGCCCGUACCGCAAACCGACACAGGUAGGCGAGGAGAGAAUCCUAAGGCGCGCGGGAGAACUCUCGUUAAGGAACUCGGCAAAAUGACCCCGUAACUUCGGGAGAAGGGGUGCUCGUUUGGGUGAAGAGCCCGAACGAGCCGCAGUGAAAAGGCCCAAGCGACUGUUUAUCAAAAACACAGGUCUCUGCGAAGCCGAAAGGCGACGUAUAGGGGCUGACACCUGCCCGGUGCUGGAAGGUUAAGGGGAGCGCUUAGCGGAAGCGAAGGUGCGAACCGAAGCCCCAGUAAACGGCGGCCGUAACUAUAACGGUCCUAAGGUAGCGAAAUUCCUUGUCGGGUAAGUUCCGACCCGCACGAAAGGUGUAACGACUUGGGCGCUGUCUCAACGAGAGACCCGGUGAAAUUAUACUACCUGUGAAGAUGCAGGUUACCCGCGACAGGACGGAAAGACCCCGUGGAGCUUUACUGCAGCCUGAUAUGGAAUUUUGGUAUCGCUUGUACAGGAUAGGUGGGAGCCUGGGAAGCCGGAGCG
Molecule: ribosomal RNA, 2176 nt
Filed under: Geobacillus sp. DSP4a
Lineage: Bacteria; Bacillati; Bacillota; Bacilli; Caryophanales; Anoxybacillaceae
Description: partial 23S ribosomal RNA
Rfam family: Bacterial large subunit ribosomal RNA
Source: RNAcentral